Molecule: ribosomal RNA, 510 nt
Filed under: uncultured bacterium
Lineage: Bacteria
Description: partial 16S ribosomal RNA
Rfam family: Bacterial small subunit ribosomal RNA
Source: RNAcentral
GACGAACGCUGGCGGCGUGCUUAACACAUGCAAGUCGAACGAAGAGCGAUGGAAGCUUGCUUCUAUCAAUCUUAGUGGCGCACGGGUGAGUAACGCGUAAUCAACCUGCCCUUCAGAGGGGGACAACAGUUGGAAACGACUGCUAAUACCGCAUACGAUCUAAUCUCGGCAUCGAGGAAAGAUGAAAGGUGGCCUCUAUUUAUAAGCUAUCACUGAAGGAGGGGAUUGCGUCUGAUUAGCUAGUUGGGGGGGUAACGGCCCACCAAGGCGAGGAUCAGUAGCCGGUCUGAGAGGAUGAACGGCCACAUUGGGACUGAGACACGGCCCAGACUCCUACGGGAGGCAGCAGUGGGGAAUCUUCCGCAAUGGACGAAAGGCUGACGGAGCAACGCCGCGUGAGGGAUGACGGCCUUCGGGUUGUAAAGCUCUGUUAAUCGGGACGAAAGGCCUUCUUGCGAACAGUUAGAAGGAUUGACGGUACCGGAAUAGAAAGCCACGGCUAACUACGUG